AAGACGAAGCAGAAGAAGCGCCCUCUCAACAGGUUACGUCACCGAAUCAAAAUGGCCCAGACCACCACCACCACCAAAAGCCAAAACCAUCUAUCCUAUGUGUUCAAGUUUUAGACGAUGGGCUUCAAUUGGAAAAUUGGAGAGAGGAGGGGAGGUGGAUGAUGUUGUCAAUUUGACAACAUCACCAACCUAACCGACACGAAACGAAACAAGGUGAAAAAGGAAAAGAAGCACUUCCAAAAACUGUCGGCUUCUCCC
Molecule: non-coding RNA, 258 nt
Organism: Caenorhabditis elegans
Lineage: Eukaryota; Metazoa; Nematoda; Chromadorea; Rhabditida; Rhabditidae
Source: Ensembl